Molecule: long non-coding RNA, 1064 nt
Organism: Salvia miltiorrhiza (redroot sage)
Lineage: Eukaryota; Viridiplantae; Streptophyta; Magnoliopsida; Lamiales; Lamiaceae
Exons: 3
Source: RefSeq, a predicted model, not a curated record
CUUUUGUUAAAGCAAUCACAUGCCAAUCAAUAUUUUACAACAAUCAAUCCACUUGGAAAUUUCCUCACAAGCUCUUCUUCAUCCCUGAAGUGCGCAGCAACCAUAGUGAUUCCAGCAAACAAGCAAAUUCAGAAUCAGGCAGCAACCAUUUCACAUCCUAAAUACCUAAAGGCUUUGAGCAUCAGGAGGAUUAGCACUGCUAUUCCAAUUCAGAGAUAAGGUUAAACGACAGGCUUUGCCUAGACAGGUGGGCUUAUUUUUCAAAUGUAUGCUUGAGUUAUUAAGCUCUAAAUAUUUCAUGAAAUGAAAACUGUUUAUCCAAUAAAUAUUUUUGUGCGCUCUGUUAUGUUUAAGGCUCGCAAUUCAUGGAUCGAUCGAGGUUCUCUUAUGGCCUAACACGUUAUUUGAGAAUUGUGUACACUUGUUAGUUGUUUCGGUGGGUUGAUCUCCAUCGGGCACUAAUUCAUGUAAGAGGCGUUAUAAGGGUGCUUGGCUGGAUGUGUUCCGGAGCAUGUAUCAUGUAAGGCCUGCCUGGGUAGCGUCCCGAGGUCAAUUCAACUUGUCUGAGUUACGUCCUCAGGGCAAGUGUCAUGGGAGAAAGCGAUACGUCGGUGGCUAAAAGGUCCGGUAUCACAGUGAGUAACUAAACAGAGUGUGACAAUGGCGCGCUAAUAAAAUGAAAUACUUUAACAUGCUUAGAAGUUAUUUUUGUUUUAAAACCUUCUAAGUUAUGUCAGGAAUGAUUGGAUAAACUGCUCUUACGAAUUGUGAAAUGUUUUAAAAGUUGCAGCCCACUAAGUACAUUAGUACUUAGCCCAAAAAUACUUUCAAAUGUUUUCAGGUUAAUGGCGGGUGAUGACGGGGCAGAGCUGAGGCUAGAGUUCAACUCCUUAUUUUGAUUUCCGCUGCAGAACUAGCCAGUAUCUGUCUUUUGUUUCUUAACUUAAGACCUAUCAUGUUGUGAUUCUAAACAAUAUCUUUUGUUGAGCCUAAACUAUUGACUCUCAAAGUAUUUCAAUCAGUGAAUGUUGGUUAUCUGAAGCAUGACACUAAACUUGUGAUCC